RNAcentral lists this long non-coding RNA (787 nucleotides) under Androctonus crassicauda. The record is from RNAcentral. Lineage: Eukaryota; Metazoa; Arthropoda; Arachnida; Scorpiones; Buthidae.
UAUGUUACUCUUCUAUCAUUAAUAAAUUGGUAUUUAAGUUGUGAAUAAUAUGCACCUUGCAUACAUAUAGAUUUUCUUUCCUCAAAACAGCAUCUAUCUAAAUAUCAGUCUAGGAUACUGAUUUGAUCCUGGUUCUUUGGAGAAAGCUGAACCAUUUCUACUGAUUUAUAUUGAAGAAUGAUUCAACUAAGUGGAAAUGUGUUGCACUUCAUCCUGACAAUUUGGGAUCAAUUCCAAGUCCCAUAUAUCUAGAUAUUUUUAGGAGGAUCUGGAUCUGGUUCUUUGAACCCCUAUUUUUCAUUUCAUAGCUGAUCCAACUAUAGAUACAGGGAGCUUGUACUGAAUGUUGGAAUAGUAUUUGCCAUUUAGUAACCUCUGAUAGGAAAGCAAUGUAAAACAAGAAGCAAAGACAGUCUAUGAUGGGCAUGGGCAAAAGUGACUGAAAAGAUAAACUUUCAAAUGUCCUUUAUUAUCUUUUUUAUUACAGAUAUUCAGCAUUUAAUGCCACUUCAAAAAUUGAUCCUAUUAUUUAGGCAACAAGGAACCUCUAUUGUUAUAGCUACGAACUUGACUUGGAAAUUGAUUCUGAAAAUGUUCGAGAUGCUAUACUCCUAUGAUAAGAAACUCAAAUUUGACAAUCUUAUUAAAAUUUGGAAUCAAAGCAUGUUUAAAGAAAAUGAUUUUAACCUGGGCCUGCAAAUCAGAUCAUGGCAAUUUCAAAAUUGACUGAUUCAUUGAAGUUGCUCAACUUCUUGAUAAUAUUGAUUCAAAUGAGCAAUGAGCAGCU